GAUGAACGCUAGCGGGAGGCUUAACACAUGCAAGUCGAGGGGCAUCACGAGGUAGCAAUACUUUGGUGGCGACCGGCGCACGGGUGAGUAACACGUAUGCAACCUACCCUGUACAGGGGGAUAACCCGGAGAAAUUCGGACUAAUAUCCCAUACAAUUAUUGGAGGGCAUCCUUUGAUAAUUAAAGCUCAGGCGGUAUAGGAUGGGCAUGCGGAACAUUAGCUAGUUGGUAGGUAACGGCCUACCAAGGCUACGAUGUUUAGGGGACCUGAGAGGGUUAUCCCCCACACUGGUACUGAGACACGGACCAGACUCCUACGGGAGGCAGCAGUGAGGAAUAUUGGUCAAUGGGCGCAAGCCUGAACCAGCCAUCCCGCGUGAAGGAAGAAGGCCCUAUGGGUUGUAAACUUCUUUUCCAGGGGGUGAAUAAUUCCGAUGUAUCGGAGAUGACGGUACCCUGGGAAUAAGCAUCGGCUAACUCCGUG
Molecule: ribosomal RNA, 484 nt
Filed under: uncultured bacterium
Lineage: Bacteria
Description: bacterial SSU rRNA
Rfam family: Bacterial small subunit ribosomal RNA
Source: RNAcentral